CGUCUGUUUGCUGCUCUUCUCCAGGACUGUGGGGAACUGUUGGGACCCCCUCUGCUAAAAAGGAGGAAAGAAUGGGCAACGGUAGGUCAGCAUGCCCCGAAUUAUCCGGGCUACACGCGGGCUACAAUGGGUGGGAGAAUGGGUAUCCACACCGAAAAGUGAAGGCGAUCUCCUAAACCCAUCCUUAGUUCGGAUUGUGGGCUGCAACUCGCCCACAUGAAACUGGAAUCUGUAGUAAUCGUGUCUCAACAUGGCACGGUGAAAAUGUCCCUGCCCCUUGCAACCCACAUUAAAGCUGCCCCAAAAGCUGAACAAAAAUUCCCAGUCCCUGCUCCUUGCACAAAA
RNAcentral lists this ribosomal RNA (345 nucleotides) under uncultured archaeon. RNAcentral's name for it is "bacterial SSU rRNA". The stretch from base 1 to 282 matches the Rfam family "Archaeal small subunit ribosomal RNA", at positions 1058 to 1341 of the family's 1478-position model. The record is from RNAcentral.